Molecule: ribosomal RNA, 503 nt
Filed under: uncultured bacterium
Lineage: Bacteria
Description: partial 16S ribosomal RNA
Rfam family: Bacterial small subunit ribosomal RNA
Source: RNAcentral
AACGAACGCUGGCUGCGUGCCUAACACAUGCAAGUCGAACGAGAAAGGGGCUUAGGCUCCGAGUAAAGAGGCGCACGGGUGAGUAACAUGUGGGUAACCUGCCUCUCAGAUUGGGAUGACUCGUCGAAAGAUGAGCUAAUACCGAAUAAGACCAAAGCUCCAGCCAGAACAGGGGUGAAAGAUAGACUCUACUUGCAAGCUAUCACUUAGAGAUGGGCCUGCGUACCAUUAGCUAGUUGGUAGGGUAACGGCUUACCAAGGCAAAGAUGGUUAGCUGGUCUGAGAGGAUGAUCGGCCACACUGGGACUGAGACACGGCCCAGACUCCUACGGGAGGCAGCAGUGGGGAAUAUUGCGCAAUAGGCGAAAGCUUGACGCAGCAACGCCGCGUGAGUGAUGAAGGCCUUCGGGUCGUAAAGCUCUGUCGGGAGGAACGAAUGCUCCUGAGGUUAAAAGCCUCGGGAGGUGACGGUACCUUCAAAGGAAGCAACGGCUAACUCUGUG